Molecule: long non-coding RNA, 3042 nt
Organism: Gallus gallus (chicken)
Lineage: Eukaryota; Metazoa; Chordata; Aves; Galliformes; Phasianidae
Source: Ensembl
GUGAGCGGGGAAAGCGGCGGGGGGUCGGGUGGCGGUGGGCUGUGUUCCGGGCGAGCUGGGGCUGAGGGGACGGGCUGUGGAGAUUCCUGAGGGUGAAAACUGGACACAGGGAAGGUGCCUGUCCCAGACUGCACCGUCUUAAGGUCACCACUGUGAUGGCCCCGACGUGGCACCUUGUACCGCUCCCACGCUGUGUUGGUUACCUGAGUUAGCGUGCCCUGCCUCCCCAGGAGGAGGAGGCUUUGGGUGGUCAGUGAGCGGGAUGCGUGCUGGCUGCAAAGAAGCUGCUGCUGUUGUGGUGACGCUUGAGUCCAUCGGCUCAGGGCCUUGUUUUGGGUGUGUGCGUGAGAAACAGCACUGUCACAGCCUGCUGAUGCCUCGGGGGGAGACGGACGUACAGAUAAACACUGGGCAGAAAGGGGAGGAUUGAGGAUGGGUGUUUUGGAAAGUGGCCUUCGUGCAAACGACGCUGCCUGCUUAGAGAAUUGGAAAUGCAUUUUGCUGUUUUAUAAAGCAUCCAUUGUAAAAACAUCUGCGUCAAUCACUCCACACACACACUACCGAGAGCUAUAAUGAUCCCAGCCCAUAGCCUGGAGAUACUGCCUGUCCUCACAAACAACCAAAGUGGGUGGAAGUUUCAAGGGCUGCAGAAGAACAAGAAUUAAAACGAUGCUAUAGAUUUUAAAUCUACAAAGCUUUCUGCAACUAGUUAAACAUGGUAUCAUCCCCUGUGGCUUUACAGAUGGGUUUUCCUGUGUUUCGACACGUAAGGGUGCAGAACUGGAACAAACCACAGAAGAAAGUAAUUAUGGGUCUAAGCCAGAGGCUCUGAGGUUGGUGGCAAUCUUUCCGCUGACCUCGGGUGGCUUUGUGUCCAGCUGUACAUACCAAGGGAAACAGUAAAACAUGUAAUUUCAUAUCAGAGUGCUAUCAUAUGCUCAUAAAAAUAGAAAAAAGAGAAGCAUACUCCUCUGCCCGCUGCAAUCUUUUGGAAUUACAGUAAUCGAAGCCGUAACUUGAAAAGCUUGAAUUCACUGGGGACAGAUGGAUACACUUAUUGAUUUAGGGGCCUCUGUGGAUUUCAGAAUAUGCUCGUAGCCUUCCCUGCUGCUUUGUGAUGCUUUAUACUGUGCUUGGACCAUGCUAGAGCUGUGGCAGUGAGAAAGAGACUCCUCAGCAGCCAAGCCUAAGGCGUAAGCAGAAGCUGUGACUGGGAGCCUGCAAAUGGGAGGACAUCAGCGGUAGAAAGUACUUUGCAGCUGGGUGAGCCGACCAGGGCAGAGAAGUCAAAGGAAAGCCACGGAGCCAGGACAAAGCUUAAUUAAAAAAUUCCAAGACGCUGAUAUCAGAGGACUUCCUCUUGUGACAAGGCAGCUGAUCAGCAGGAGAUAUCUCGCACGUUGCUUGCAUCUACCGUGGGAGGGAAGGCUGAAGAGGUGAAGGCUGGUGCUCAAGACUAGGAAAAGCACCGAAGGCGGAGAGAAGAACGUACUACUUAGUGCAGACAUCUGUCAGAUGGGACGUUUCACCCCCCUGGUGCCACACUUCCCCUCCUGCAGGGGGAGGACAACAACCUGUUGGGAUUCCCACAGGAAAGGGGCUGCGGAAGCGCCUCGUUAUCCUGAUGUAGAACAAUGCAGGCCAUCUCUGAACUGCCUACGCUGGGCCUGGAGACAGCAGCCCCCUCUUCCUCCUGCCCUGCACUGCUGAGGAGCAUUCCUCUGUCUGAUAAACAAGUUGUCUUGCUCUGUUCCGGUGGUAGCUGCCUUGUUUGGGCGUCUCGUCUGGAGAAGGCAUCAGCAGCACUGCAGGAUGAAAGGGGACACGAAGCAGUAGGAUGGACUCAUCCGCCACAAUACUUAACGUUUAAAGAAGAGCACUAUCUGCUGCGGGGUGAGCCCGAGCCCGGGGAUCAGGGUACAAUCUUCCCUCAGAAGUGAGCAAGCAUUACCGGGUGUGCUGGCUGCUGCCGGGCACCGCUGAAUGAGGAGCCGGAGCUGACAGCGUGCUAUUACACCCUGUCCAGCUCAGCCCUGCAGCCCUCAGGACAGGAGGCGCUCACCCAGCUUCAAAGCCACACGGCUCCAAUGCAGAGCCGGCAUAGGCGUGUUCGCAGCGGCGCAUUUCAUCUUUGAAGAAACUCACUACAGACUUUAAAGGCUGUAAAAUCUCCGGGCUGAUCAGAAUACGGGAUUGGAAUACAGCAACGUAGCAUGCACGCCACAAAGCUGCCCCGGGCUCUGGCACGACCACCUACCUGUUGUCCGUGCGAUGGCAGCCACCCGGCCAGCGCUGAGGUGUGCUGCUUGGCUCCCUGCUCCUACAGAGGGGCAAAGGCUCGCUUCUUAACCCCACUCGGGCCGAGCCCAGGACCGAGAGGUGUCUGUGCCGGGGGCAGAGGAGCCUCCCGCUUGCUGCAGAGGCAGGAGCUGCUGUCCCGUCCUGCUGCGCUCCUUGCAGCCAGCGAGCCGAAUGAUCUGAUCUACUGAUCCAGCGUCGGGGAGGGUCUGGGGGGUCUGCCGCCCCGUAAUCUCACUAAACGCGUCCCUCUCACUCGUUUAAUCCCGUUGCUCUUCAUCGUGCCUUUUUGCUCUGAGCAAACCCCACCCCCGGCCCGGGGAUUACCUUCCCCAAACAUCUGCAGGCGGCUAUCGGCUCCCGCACCUCUCCUCGCCCAACCGCGCCGCGCAUAUUUACCCCUGAAAUCACCUGUCCCCACCCAAGCCAUUCGUCAAUCCUUUUCCUCUCGUCAUUAUCUCGCUUAGCAGUUUAGCAAUCGGGAGCGGGCAGAUCCUCCCGUCCUCCCCAGCGCCCCAGUCCCGCCGGCGCCGGACCAGAGGCGAGGCAGAGGACCCCCAACCUCCGCCCGGCUGCUCGCAGGUGAGCGGCGCUUCCUCCCGCAGCGAGGACGGGCGGUUCCCCGGCACGGCGGGGGCAGAGUCCCAGCAGCCGUGGCUCAGCCGGGAUGGGAGCUGCGGCCGCCGCGAGCUUUACCGGUAGGAGCGGCUUCCGGAAGCCUUCCCAGGCGGCGCGCUCACGGCG